RNAcentral lists this ribosomal RNA (197 nucleotides) under uncultured bacterium. RNAcentral describes it as "partial 16S ribosomal RNA". It matches the Rfam family "Bacterial small subunit ribosomal RNA", at positions 336 to 526 of the family's 1533-position model. The record is from RNAcentral.
CUCCUACGGGAGGCAGCAGUAAGGAAUAUUGGUCAAUGGGCGCAAGCCUGAACCAGCCAUGCCGCGUGCAGGAGGACGGCCCUACGGGUUGUAAACUGACUUUUAUACGGGUAAUAAACCCCGGGUACGUCGUACCGGGCUGAAUGUACUGUAAGAAUAAGGAUCGGCUAACUCCGUGCCAGCAGCCGCGGUAAUAC